AACGCACAUUGCGCCCGCCAGUAUUCUGACGGGCAUGCCUGUUCGAGCGUCAUUUCAACCAUCAAGCCCCGGGCUUGCGUUGGGGCCCUGCGGCUGCCGCAGACCCCUAAAUCCAGUGGCGGGCUCGUCGUCGUACCGAGUGCAGUAAACAUCCUCUCUCGCGACCCCGACGGGUGCCGGCCGUGAAACCCCCCCUUCUCAAGGUUGACCUCGGAUCAGGUAGGAAUACCCGCUGAACUUAA
RNAcentral lists this unclassified non-coding RNA (242 nucleotides) under uncultured Lasiosphaeriaceae. RNAcentral's name for it is "sequence contains ITS2". Lineage: Eukaryota; Fungi; Ascomycota; Sordariomycetes; Sordariales; Lasiosphaeriaceae. The record is from RNAcentral.